RNAcentral lists this ribosomal RNA (301 nucleotides) under uncultured bacterium. Its description in RNAcentral is "partial 16S ribosomal RNA". It matches the Rfam family "Bacterial small subunit ribosomal RNA", at positions 509 to 807 of the family's 1533-position model. The record is from RNAcentral.
CAGUAGCCGCGGUAAUACGAAGGGUGCAAGCGUUGUCCGGAAUUAUUGGGCGUAAAGCGUGCGCAGGCGGUUAUAUAAGUCAGAUGUGAAAUCCCCGGGCUCAACCUGGGAACUGCAUUUGAGACUGUAUGGCUAGAGUGUGUCAGAGGGGGGUAGAAUUCCACGUGUAGCAGUGAAAUGCGUAGAUAUGUGGAGGAAUACCAAUGGCGAAGGCAGCCCCCUGGGAUAACACUGACGCUCAUGCACGAAAGCGUGGGGAGCAAACAGGAUUAGAUACCCGCGUAGUCCCUGUCUCUUAUAC